Molecule: ribosomal RNA, 214 nt
Filed under: uncultured bacterium
Lineage: Bacteria
Description: partial 16S ribosomal RNA
Rfam family: Bacterial small subunit ribosomal RNA
Source: RNAcentral
GGAACCUGCCUUGGAGUGGGGAAUAACACAGUGAAAAUUGUGCUAAUACCGCAUAAUGCAGUUGGGUCGCAUGACUCUGACUGCCAAAGAUUUAUCGCUCUGAGAUGGCCUCGCGUCUGAUUAGCUAGUUGGUGGGGUAACGGCCCACCAAGGCGACGAUCAGUAGCCGGACUGAGAGGUUGGCCGGCCACAUUGGGACUGAGACACGGCCCAG